GUGCGGGUUUCAGCAGCACAUAGACUAAAAUUGGAACAAUCCUGAGCAGACUGGUCUGGCCCUGCAUGAGGAUGACAUGCAAAUUCGUGUAUUCCAUAAUUUU
This is a small nuclear RNA of Talpa occidentalis (Iberian mole), 103 nucleotides long. NCBI's taxonomy places the organism in Eukaryota, Metazoa, Chordata, Mammalia, Eulipotyphla, Talpidae. The record is from RefSeq and is a predicted model, not a curated record.